GACGAGCGCAGUGGCGCGUGCCGGUAGUCCCAGCUACUCGGGAGGCUGAGGCUGGAGGAUCGCUUGAGUCCAGGAGUUCUGGGCUGUAGUGCGCUAUGCCGAUCGGGUGUCCGCACUAAGUUCAGCAUCAAUAUGGUGACCUCCUGGAAGCGCGGGACCACCAGGUUGCCUAAGGAGGAGUGAAUCAGCCCAGGUCGGAAACAGAGCAUGUCAAAACUCCCUUGCUGAUCAGUAGUGGGAUGGCGCCUGUGAAUAGCCUCUGCACUCCAGCCUGGGCAGCACAGCGAGACCCUGUCUCUA
Callithrix jacchus (white-tufted-ear marmoset) is the source of this 300-nucleotide unclassified non-coding RNA. It matches the Rfam family "Metazoan signal recognition particle RNA". Rfam says of the family: The signal recognition particle (SRP) is a universally conserved ribonucleoprotein. The record is from Ensembl. Lineage: Eukaryota; Metazoa; Chordata; Mammalia; Primates; Cebidae.